RNAcentral lists this ribosomal RNA (253 nucleotides) under uncultured bacterium. RNAcentral describes it as "partial 16S ribosomal RNA". It matches the Rfam family "Bacterial small subunit ribosomal RNA", at positions 524 to 776 of the family's 1533-position model. The record is from RNAcentral.
UACAGAGGUCUCAAGCGUUGUUCGGAUUCAUUGGGCGUAAAGGGUGUGUAGGUGGCGCGCUAAGUCGGGUGUGAAAUUUCGGAGCUUAACUCCGAAACUGCAUUCGAUACUGGCGUGCUUGAGGACUGGAGAGGAGACUGGAAUUCCUGGUGUAGCGGUGAAAUGCGCAGAUAUCAGGAGGAACACCGGUGGCGAAGGCGGGUCUCUGGGCCGUAACUGACGCUGAGGAGCGAAAGCAUGGGGAGCGAACAGG